GUCUUUUUGAUGAUAAUUUAAAGUCUAACCUGCUCAAUGAAAAUUUAAAUAGCCGUAGUAUUUUGACUAUGCUAAGGUAGCAUAGUAAUUAGUUUCUUAAUUAGGAGCUGGAAUGAAAGGUUGGAUGAGAAAUUUACUGUCUCAGUUUAAUUUAAAUGAGAAUUUUAUUUUUAAGUUAAAAAGCUUAAAUGAUUUUAAAAGACGAGAAGACCCUAUAGAGUUUUAUAUAAAGUUAUAUACUGAGAAUUAAAGAAUUAUAUUUGAUUUAUUUAAAAUUAUAUUUAGUUGGGGUGAUUGAAAAAUUAAAUAAACUUUUUUUAAUAUUAAAUACCAUUAAUUUAUGUUUUAUUGAUCCAUUAUUUAUGAUUAUAAGAUUAAAUUACCUUAGGGAUAACAGCGUAAUUUUUUUUAGAGUUCUUAUCGAAUAAAAAGUUUGCGA
Molecule: ribosomal RNA, 439 nt
Filed under: Uroxys pygmaeus
Lineage: Eukaryota; Metazoa; Arthropoda; Insecta; Coleoptera; Scarabaeidae
Description: partial 16S ribosomal RNA
Source: RNAcentral